CGGGACCUUCGGGUUCUGCGGGGAAAGAUGGCCUCUAUUUAUAAGCUGUCACCGAGAGACGGGCUCGCGGCCCAUUAGCUAGUUGGCGGGGUAAUGGCCCACCAAGGCGAUGAUGGGUAGCUGGUCUGAGAGGAUGACCAGCCACACUGGAACUGAGACACGGUCCAGACUCCUACGGGAGGCAGCAGUCGGGAAUCUUGGACAAUGGGGGAAACCCUGAUCCAGCCACGCCGCGUGGGUGAUGGAGGCCUUCGGGUUGUAAAGCCCUGUCAGAAGGGAAGAAAGGGUCUUGACCUAAUACGUCCGGGCCUUGACGGUACCUUCAGAGGAAGCACCGGCUAACUACGUGCCAGCAGCCGCGGUAAGACGUAAGGUGCAAGCGUUGCUCGGAAUUACUGGGCGUAAAGGGCGCGU
Molecule: ribosomal RNA, 414 nt
Filed under: uncultured bacterium
Lineage: Bacteria
Description: bacterial SSU rRNA
Rfam family: Bacterial small subunit ribosomal RNA
Source: RNAcentral